GUGAGGAAUUUUCCGCAAUGGGCGAAAGCCUGACGGAGCAAUGCCGCGUGAAGGAUGAAGGCCUAUGGGUUGUAAACUUCUUUUCUCAGAAAAGAAUUAUGACGGUAUCUGAGGAAUAAGCAUCGGCUAACUCUGAGCCAGCAGCCGCGGUAAGACAGAGGAUGCAAGCGUUAUCCGGAAUGAUUGGGCGUAAAGCGUCUGUAGGUUGUUUAAAAAGUAUUCUGUCAAAGAUUAGGGCUUAACCCUAGAUAGGCAGAAUAAACUUUUAAGCUAGAGUUUGGUAGAGGCAGAGGGAAUUCCCGGUGGAGCGGUGAAAUGCGUAGAUAUCGGGAGGAACACCAAAGGCGAAGGCACUCUGCUGGGCCAAUACUAACACUGAGAGACGAAAGCGAGGGGAGCAAAUGGGAUUAGAUACCCGUGUAGUCC
This 426-nucleotide ribosomal RNA is filed under the name uncultured bacterium. RNAcentral describes it as "bacterial SSU rRNA". It matches the Rfam family "Bacterial small subunit ribosomal RNA", at positions 354 to 796 of the family's 1533-position model. The record is from RNAcentral.